RNAcentral lists this ribosomal RNA (493 nucleotides) under uncultured bacterium. RNAcentral describes it as "partial 16S ribosomal RNA". It matches the Rfam family "Bacterial small subunit ribosomal RNA", at positions 28 to 506 of the family's 1533-position model. The record is from RNAcentral.
GACGAACGCUGGCGGCGUGCUUAACACAUGCCAGUCGAACGGUGAAGCGCCUUCCUUUUUGGUGGGUGUGGAUGAGUGGCGAACGGGUGAGUAACACGUGAGUAACCUGCCCCCUUCUUCUGGAUAACCGCAUGAAAGUGUGGCUAAUACGGGAUAUUCUGGGUCUGUCGCAUGAUGGGUCUGGGAAAGAUAUUGUUUCGGUGGGGGAUGGGCUCGCGGCCUAUCAGCUUGUUGGUGGGGUGAUGGCCUACCAAGGCGGUGACGGGUAGCCGGCCUGAGAGGGUGGACGGUCACACUGGGACUGAGACACGGCCCAGACUCCUACGGGAGGCAGCAGGGGGGAAUAUUGCACAAUGGGCGCAAGCCUGAUGCAGCGACGCCGCGUGAGGGAUGGAGGCCUUCGGGUUGUGAACCUCUUUCGCCAGUGAAGCAGGCCUGCCUCGUUUGUGGGUGGGUUGACGGUAGCUGGAUAAGAAGCGCCGGCUAACUACGU